Molecule: transfer RNA, 75 nt
Filed under: Chloroflexota bacterium
Lineage: Bacteria; Bacillati; Chloroflexota
Description: Chloroflexi bacterium (groundwater metagenome) tRNA-His
Rfam family: tRNA
About the family: Transfer RNA (tRNA) molecules are approximately 80 nucleotides in length. Their secondary structure includes four short double-helical elements and three loops (D, anti-codon, and T loops).
Source: RNAcentral
GCGGCUGUAGCUCAAUGGUUGAGCACCGCACUGUGGAUGCGGAUGCUGCGGGUUCGACCCCCGUCAGCCGCCCCA